GUUUCAACGCAAUCAGCCUAUGGCCUCAACACAAGGAAUAUUGCGCUGUGCUCUAUCGGCAGUAGCUGGCUACUCGCCGCCGCGAACACACGGGUCUCAAAAUAAAACUCCAAAGCAAAAGUGCAUUCAUAAAGUGCUUCAACUACUGAAAACUUUAGAAAGAAAAAUGUAUUAUUAAAAAGUGGUGAGCUAUUUCCGUGAAUGCUUUUUGGCAAGUGCGCGAGUGCAUGCUGGCUAUUUUUAAAAUUAGUUUCGGAGUGCAGUUUUUGAAACUACUGAAAAGAGUUUGUUUUUGUGAUUGCACCUCCUUGAAGUUGGAGAAUGGACGUCCUGCGGCCGUCAUGUGCCCUCUUCGUACUGUUCCUGCUGUACUGCGCGCACCUCACAGAAUGCGUGAACGCAAAGAUCAACUUCAGAGAGAAGGAGAAGCAGAUUCUGGACCAGAUCCUGGGCCCUGGCCGCUACGACGCCAGGAUCCGGCCCUCGGGCAUCAACGGCACUGGGGACGCUCCCACGUUGGUGCGGGUAAACCUGUACCUGCGAUCAAUCAGCAAAAUAGAUGAUUAUAAAAUGGAAUACUCUGUCCAGCUGACUUUCAGAGAACAAUGGCUUGACGAAAGACUGAAAUUUAAUAACUUGGGCGGCCGGCUCAAGUACCUGACGCUGACUGAGGCCAACCGAGUGUGGAUGCCGGACCUGUUCUUCAGCAACGAGAAGGAGGGCCACUUCCACAACAUCAUCAUGCCCAACGUGUACAUCCGCAUCUUCCCCAACGGCAACGUGCUCUACAGCAUCAGGAUCUCCCUCACUCUCUCCUGCCCCAUGAACCUCAAGUUGUAUCCGUUGGAUAAACAGACUUGCUCCCUGAGGAUGGCCAGUUAUGGUUGGACGACUGACGAUCUUGUGUUCCUCUGGAAGGAAGGCGACCCAGUACAGGUUGUGAAAAAUCUACACUUACCCCGAUUCACAUUAGAAAAAUUCUUGACUGACUAUUGCAACAGCAAAACUAACACAGGUGAAUACAGUUGUCUGAAAGUAGACUUGCUGUUCAAGCGAGAGUUCUCGUACUACCUGAUCCAGAUCUAUAUUCCUUGCUGCAUGUUGGUGAUCGUUUCUUGGGUCUCCUUCUGGCUGGAUCAGGGCGCUGUGCCGGCGCGGGUGUCUCUUGGUGUGACAACCCUGCUCACAAUGGCCACUCAAUCAUCAGGCAUCAACGCAUCACUCCCGCCAGUAUCAUACACAAAGGCCAUAGACGUAUGGACUGGCGUUUGUUUAACAUUCGUAUUCGGGGCGCUACUAGAGUUUGCCCUCGUGAACUAUGCAUCGCGGUCUGACAUGCAUAGGGAGAAUAUGAAGAAGACGCGACGGGAGAUGGAGGCGGCUGCAAGCAUGGAUGCAGCGUCAGACCUGCUGGACACUGACAGCAAUGCCACCUUCGCGAUGAAACCUCUGAUGCGCGGCGCUGUGCUGGACUCCAAGAUGCGACAGUGCGAGGUGCACAUGGCUCCUCCGAGGAAGAACUGUUGUCGCCUCUGGAUGUCCAAGUUUCCAACGCGCUCUAAGCGAAUAGACGUCAUCUCCAGAAUCACCUUCCCACUCGUCUUCGCUCUCUUCAACUUGGCUUAUUGGUUAGGACACUAAAGAGAAUAAGUCAGAGAUGCUCUCCUUUCAAGAGAUGUUAUCUUAGGCGCAGUCGACGUACCUAUUCCGAGAUGAGGACGAAGAGAACUGAUUCACAAUCGAGACUGCAUCAGCAUCGUUCCACUGGCAGUGGCAGCUCCCGCUCGCGAUCCUGUGGCCUUACGCCUUCUUCUGUAUAGCGUACUUCCUGUUCCUCAGAAACAAGGGUAGGGGCUGCUGCCCGGGGCUCACGCACGACAGUUCUCCCACCAGCAACUCCUGGCACUAACACAGGCUCUCCGCGCCCUCCUCGGUGCACUACCUACAUUGCGCAACCAACAUUUCUUUGGCAAUAGACAUUAUUAUGCCAUACGUCGGUAGUGGAUUCCAGCCUAGUGGAUUAGUUCAGUUCUUGAAGUAGAUGCAGCCUUACAGUUCGAUUGACUUUACAUUGCUGGGUUACCCCUCAAGUUAAUUAUAUAUCCAAAUUCAAUGUUGCUUAUGAACACUACAAUAUAUAGUGAUAAGUAGAUUUUAAACUACCCGAAUGAUAAGCGAAAUAGUAGAUUCUUAAUAUGUUUAAGUACGAUUCGAAGCGGGUUCAAAACCAUUGCACCUAGACGAUACAAAAAUAUGAAAAAGACAACAGGCUGUCAGCAGUGAAGUAAAUUAUUAUGAAAUAGGAAAUCUAAGUGUAAGUAA
RNA transcript from Plutella xylostella (diamondback moth), 2322 nucleotides. It is a transcript of the gene named glycine receptor alpha 1, with no coding region annotated. Lineage: Eukaryota; Metazoa; Arthropoda; Insecta; Lepidoptera; Plutellidae. The record is from RefSeq and is marked provisional.